Molecule: ribosomal RNA, 387 nt
Filed under: uncultured Bacteroidota bacterium
Lineage: Bacteria; Pseudomonadati; Bacteroidota
Description: bacterial SSU rRNA
Rfam family: Bacterial small subunit ribosomal RNA
Source: RNAcentral
UCCGUAGGUGGACAGAUAAGUCAGAGGUGAAAUCCUGCAGCUCAACUGUAGAACUGCCUUUGAUACUGUUUGUCUUGAGUUAUUGUGAAGUGGUUAGAAUGUGUAGUGUAGCGGUGAAAUGCAUAGAUAUUACACAGAAUACCGAUUGCGAAGGCAGAUCACUAACAAUUAACUGACACUGAUGGACGAAAGCGUGGGUAGCGAACAGGAUUAGAUACCCUGGUAGUCCACGCCGUAAACGAUGGUCACUAGCUGUUCGGACUUCGGUCUGAGUGGCUAAGCGAAAGUGAUAAGUGACCCACCUGGGUAGUACGUUCGCAAGAAUGAAACUCAAAGGAAUUGACGGGGGCCCGCACAGGCGGUGGAGCAUGUGGUUUAAUUCGAUGA